RNAcentral lists this transfer RNA (68 nucleotides) under Phaeognathus hubrichti (Red Hills salamander). RNAcentral's name for it is "tRNA-Cys". The record is from RNAcentral. Lineage: Eukaryota; Metazoa; Chordata; Amphibia; Caudata; Plethodontidae.
CAGGUCUUAUGGUGUUUAGCACAUAAAAUUGCAAAUUUUAAAGAGCAGAAUUACUCCUGCUGGGACUU